UGCAGUCGAGCGGUAGCACAGGGGAGCUUGCUCCGGGUGACGAGCGGCGGACGGGUGAGUAAUGUCUGGGAAACUGCCUGAUGGAGGGGGAUAACUACUGGAAACGGUAGCUAAUACCGCAUAACGUCGCAAGACCAAAGAGGGGGACCUUCGGGCCUCUUGCCAUCAGAUGUGCCCAGAUGGGAUUAGCUAGUAGGUGGGGUAAUGGCUCACCUAGGCGACGAUCCCUAGCUGGUCUGAGAGGAUGACCAGCCACACUGGAACUGAGACACGGUCCAGACUCCUACGGGAGGCAGCAGUGGGGAAUAUUGCACAAUGGGCGCAAGCCUGAUGCAGCCAUGCCGCGUGUGUGAAGAAGGCCUUCGGGUUGUAAAGCACUUUCAGCGAGGAGGAAGGUGGUGAGCUUAAUACGCUCAUCAAUUGACGUUACUCGCAGAAGAAGCACCGGCUAACUCCGUGCCAGCAGCCGCGGUAAUACGGAGGGUGCAAGCGUUAAUCGGAAUUACUGGGCGUAAAGCGCACGCAGGCGGUUUGUUAAGUCAGAUGUGAAAUCCCCGGGCUCAACCUGGGAACUGCAUUUGAAACUGGCAAGCUAGAGUCUCGUAGAGGGGGGUAGAAUUUCCAGG
Molecule: ribosomal RNA, 626 nt
Filed under: Serratia sp. Arv-26-1.1
Lineage: Bacteria; Pseudomonadati; Pseudomonadota; Gammaproteobacteria; Enterobacterales; Yersiniaceae
Description: bacterial SSU rRNA
Rfam family: Bacterial small subunit ribosomal RNA
Source: RNAcentral